GGGAUAGCCGCCCGAAAGGACGGGUAAUACCGGAUACCCCCGGGCGCCGCAUGGCGCCCGGGCUAAAGCCCCGACGGGAGGGGAUGGCUCCGCGGCCCAUCGGGUAGACGGCGGGGUGACGGCCCACCGUGCCGACAACGGGUAGCCGGGUUGAGAGACCGACCGGCCAGAUUGGGACUGAGACACGGCCCAGACUCCUACGGGAGGCAGCAGUGGGGAAUCUUGCGCAAUGGGGGGAACCCUGACGCAGCGACGCCGCGUGCGGGACGGAGGCCUUCGGGUCGUAAACCGCUUUCAGCAGGGAAGAGUCAAGACUGUACCUGCAGAAGAAGCCCCGGCUAACUACGUGCCAGCAGCCGCGGUAAUACGUAGGGGGCGAGCGUUAUCCGGAUUCAUUGGGCGUAAAGCGCGCGUAGGCGGCCCGGCAGGCCGGGGGUCGAAGCGGGGGGCUCAACCCCCCGAAGCCCCCGGAACCUCCGCGGCUUGGGUCCGGUAGGGGAGGGUGGAACACCCGGUGUAGCGGUGGAAUGCGCAGAUAUCGGGUGGAACACCGGUGGCGAAGGCGGCCCUCUGGGCCGAGACCGACGCUGAGGCGCGAAAGCUGGGGGAGCGAACAGGAUUAGAUACCCUGGUAGUCCCAGCCGUAAACGAUGGACGCUAGGUGUGGGGGGACGAUCCCCCCGUGCCGCAG
RNAcentral lists this ribosomal RNA (691 nucleotides) under uncultured bacterium. RNAcentral's name for it is "partial 16S ribosomal RNA". It matches the Rfam family "Bacterial small subunit ribosomal RNA", at positions 140 to 851 of the family's 1533-position model. The record is from RNAcentral.